GGAACCCGGUGCGAGUCCGGGACGGUCCCGCCACUGUGACCGGGAGAUUCCCCGGGAGUCAGGAGAC
This 67-nucleotide non-coding RNA is filed under the name Actinoplanes utahensis. Lineage: Bacteria; Bacillati; Actinomycetota; Actinomycetes; Micromonosporales; Micromonosporaceae. The record is from RNAcentral.